This is an RNA transcript of Capsicum annuum, 2788 nucleotides long. It is a transcript of the gene named probable methionine--tRNA ligase, with no coding region annotated. NCBI's taxonomy places the organism in Eukaryota, Viridiplantae, Streptophyta, Magnoliopsida, Solanales, Solanaceae. The transcript is spliced from 6 exons. The record is from RefSeq and is a predicted model, not a curated record.
UUCACUCUCCCACCAAAAUAUUUCCCUCUCCCUCCAAUCUGUAAUUAUCCAAAAAUAAUUAAGAAAUGUAACCAAUUUACACUCUCAGAUAUACACUCUCUCACAAAAUCCUUUUCCAAAUAUAUCUAUUAUUUUCUAUCCAUUUACACAAAACCCUAUGCCCAAAUUUCUUCAAAUCCAUCGAAUGCAUCAAAGUUCUUCGAAUUGCAUUGCCCAAAAUAGUCAAAUUUUGUCCAGCAUAUUCCUUGUGCUCUGCUACUAGUAUGUCUAUGAUAACUCAAAGGAAAGAGUCCUGUUUCUGCUAGAAAAGGAUAGAGAGGGAACUGAAAUUUGUUGUUUGUUUUGCUCCAAGAACAUUUAGAUUUUAAAUUAGAAAAUGACUGAAACUUGGUACAACUUCAGGUUAUGGUUCUGUUAUUCCCAAUCCUGAAGUAGAUGAAUCACACCCUUUAACUAGGGCCCAGGGUGAAAAGGUUGGACAUUAUGUGGCGCAAUAUGUAGAAGCCAUGGAGAAGGUUAAAUUAAAGCAAGGCUUGAAGAUUGCGAUGUCCAUUUCUGGAGAAGGAAAUGGUUAUUUGCAAGAGAGCCAAUUUUGGAAACUUUUGAAGGAAGAUAGACCUUUGUGUUCCAUAGUGAUGAGCACUGCUUCCGGCAUAGUAUAUCUUCUUGCAUGUCUUUUAGAUCCAUUUAUACCAUUCUUUUCACGAGAGGUGGUGUUCUCGCGUCUUGGGGCGAAGAUCCUUCUGAGUCAGUAUCUUCCUUUCAGAUUAGUGUUGGACUUGAUGGAACAUCAAACAAGAAAGUAAAACUACCCAAGAAUUUCACUCUGCUUGGUCCUGGACCAGGCUACAUAAACAAGGGUUGCAAAAAUAUGCAGGCAAGUUGCACAAAGUUCAACCAUGUUAAUGUUGAUACUAUCAAUAUAUAACUUGUUUUAUCUUGUGCAAUCUUUUCAGUAUACUUUCCAGACUUCAGUAUUAUGAUAUACCAUUGGUCAGUCAUUCUCUGAGUAAAACUCUUGAUGGCUUCUCUUUAUCAAUUUUUUUAAGGUUUCUCUUUGGGUGCUACUAUUUCUGAAUCUUUUUUGGUGAUUUUGCAAUUUCAUUUCAUAUUGUUAACGACAAAUAGAUAUUACUGCUUCUUCUAGCAUUGCAAUCUGAUAUGUUACUGAUGACAUGGUAGCUAUGCACUAGCUGGUUGAUAUUGAUACUAAAGAUAUCCUUUUUAUCUGCGGUGGAGCUUUUGUUGGUUUAGAGAAGACAAUUUUAGAAAGAUUAUUCAAUUGGAUUUGGAGCACCUGUUCGGACCAACAUGAGAAUUAUUACACAGAUGUAGCUGGUAGCAGGUUGGUCGAAACCGAUAUGCAUUGGCAGACAUUCUUUUGGUGAUCAAUAUCGAGCUACUCAUACACUAAUUCAAGGAGCUGGAAAGCUCAAAUUAGUAUUUGGUAAAGUUUUUGCCGAUCUGUAUGAUUUGCAAGUUCCGAUGUAUAUUUAUUUGUUCUACUUUAGUUUGUCUUUGAGUAAAUUGUUUCAAGUUCUUUAACACCUUUUGGUUAUUCUGUUUUAAAAAUGCCGCUGAGAUAUUCUGUUGAACCUGAUUGCAGUACCAGAAGGGAAGGAUCAAAACACCGAGUUCUUAUUCGUAGUAUCUCGCGUUCUGAAGUUACUACUUUGUGCUGUUGUUAUAAUUCACGUGUUACUAAACCUUACAGGGUAGCUCGACAUCAAUAUGUGAACACUGAAGAGUUCAUUGACGUUGUGGCUGAUGAGCUCAAAGCUAGACUUCUGAAAUCAAAGAUUUAAGUGUGUUUCUCUAAUCGCAAACUUUCGUUUUCUUAUCGAGAUUUAUUGUUUUGAAUUGUUGAAACUACUUUUAUUACCUGAAAAGUCCGUCAUAACUGCUCAAUACCUCGUGUUCUCACCAGUCUUGUCUCAUUAGUAUUCAUGACUAUUACCAUAUUACACACUCGUACACCAACAUUCCAGCUAUGUUGCUCGAACUCUUCACAAAUGUUAUCUUGACUGUGUUGGAUCCUCUAAAUAUUCACUAUUUUUGAAGGAUUUGAAAUGCACCUGUAGGCAAUUUUAAAAAGUUCGAUCAACAUAGCUUUUCGGAACUUGAUUUUCAACUCUACUAACUCUAAAAGACUUCUGAUCCACCCUCAUGCCUUUUAUUAUUUUCGGAUAAAAUCAUAUUUAGUUACGCUUUUUAUGCAGGUACGAUCACUAAUGGUAUCAGUUAUCCUAAAUGUCAGAUACUUUGUUUAGCUGAGUUGAUUUACAUGCAAAGUUAAACAGCAAGUUGCUAAGCAUCUUGGUCAAUUUCGUUAAUAGAGUCAGUUUCAUCGCUUAAGAUCUGGGUUCUUAAGCAGCUUGACUUUCCUCCUGAAACACACUGUUUGAUGAAAGAGACAUAGAAAAAAGCAGAGCACCAUGGCAUAUUCUAGCUGCAGGUCACAAAAUUGAAAUUACAGCACCAUUGUUCAAGGGGCUGGUAAUGCCUUGGAGACUAUCGUGACAAAAUGAAGAAUAAUUUUGGAUCUAAAUCGCUCAAAUUCACAAGGCAUCUAUGAACCAUUAUAUGAAAGUAUGCAUGACAACUCCAGCUGCCUAUAAAGUAUCAUCAGGCUUCAGUGUAUAAGCAGAGUAGUGCUGGAAAGAAGAUGUUUAUUAAUGAAGCAGAAAGCAUAUUAAAUAGAGUUACAGAUAAACUAAGAUGAGUCCUAAACUAACUAAACUAGAUCGGUCCUAAAUAAAUAAAAUUGCUGAAAGAUAUAUUGUGAUUA